UACGUAGGGUGCGAGCGUUAAUCGGAAUUACUGGGCGUAAAGCGUGCGCAGGCGGUUGGUUAAGUCUGAUGUGAAAGCCCCGGGCUCAACUUGGGAAUGGCAUUGGAAACUGGCUGGCUAGAGUGUGGCAGAGGGGGGUGGAAUUCCGCGUGUAGCAGUGAAAUGCGUAGAGAUGCGGAGGAACACCAGCGGCGAAGGCGGCAUCCUGGACUGGUCCUGACACUCAGGAGCGAAAGCGUGGGGAGCGAUCCGG
Molecule: ribosomal RNA, 253 nt
Filed under: uncultured bacterium
Lineage: Bacteria
Description: partial 16S ribosomal RNA
Rfam family: Bacterial small subunit ribosomal RNA
Source: RNAcentral